UGGGGAAUAUUGGACAAUGGGGGCAACCCUGAUCCAGCAAUGCCGCGUGUGUGAAGAAGGUUUUCGGAUUGUAAAGCACUUUCGACGGGGACGAUGAUGACGGUACCCGUAGAAGAAGCCCCGGCUAACUUCGUGCCAGCAGCCGCGGUAAUACGAAGGGGGCUAGCGUUGCUCGGAAUGACUGGGCGUAAAGGGCGUGUAGGCGGUUUGUACAGUCAGAUGUGAAAUCCCCGGGCUUAACCUGGG
This 246-nucleotide ribosomal RNA is filed under the name uncultured bacterium. Its description in RNAcentral is "partial 16S ribosomal RNA". It matches the Rfam family "Bacterial small subunit ribosomal RNA", at positions 355 to 618 of the family's 1533-position model. The record is from RNAcentral.